GGCUCUGUGGCGCAAUGGAUAAGCGCGUUGGACUUCUAAUUCAAAGGUUGUGGGUUCGAGUCCCACCAGAGUCG
Non-coding RNA from Acipenser ruthenus (sterlet), 74 nucleotides. NCBI's taxonomy places the organism in Eukaryota, Metazoa, Chordata, Actinopteri, Acipenseriformes, Acipenseridae. The record is from the annotation of a RefSeq genome assembly.